This 71-nucleotide transfer RNA is filed under the name Sphingobacteriaceae bacterium. Its description in RNAcentral is "tRNA-Cys". It matches the Rfam family "tRNA". From Rfam's summary of the family: Transfer RNA (tRNA) molecules are approximately 80 nucleotides in length. Their secondary structure includes four short double-helical elements and three loops (D, anti-codon, and T loops). The record is from RNAcentral. Lineage: Bacteria; Pseudomonadati; Bacteroidota; Sphingobacteriia; Sphingobacteriales; Sphingobacteriaceae.
GGUCCUGUGGCCGAGUGGUUAGGCUCAGCUCUGCAAAAGCUGCUACUCCAGUUCGAACCUGGGCGGGACCU